This 484-nucleotide ribosomal RNA is filed under the name uncultured bacterium. RNAcentral's name for it is "partial 16S ribosomal RNA". It matches the Rfam family "Bacterial small subunit ribosomal RNA", at positions 28 to 507 of the family's 1533-position model. The record is from RNAcentral.
AUUGAACGCUGGCGGCAUGCUUUACACAUGCAAGUCGAACGGCAGCGCGGGCUUCGGCCUGGCGGCGAGUGGCGAACGGGUGAGUAAUGCAUCGGAACGUGCCCAGUAGUGGGGGGUAGCCCGGCGAAAGCCGGAUUAAUACCGCAUACGACCUGAGGGUGUAAGCGGGGGACCGAAAGGCCUCGCGCUAUUGGAGCGGCCGAUGUCGGAUUAGCUAGUUGGUGGGGUAAAGGCUUACCAAGGCGACGAUCCGUAGCUGGUCUGAGAGGACGACCAGCCACACUGGGACUGAGACACGGCCCAGACUCCUACGGGAGGCAGCAGUGGGGAAUUUUGGACAAUGGGGGCAACCCUGAUCCAGCCAUGCCGCGUGCGGGAAGAAGGCCUUCGGGUUGUAAACCGCUUUUGUUCGGGAAGAAAUCCUCUGGGCUAAUACCCCGGGGGGAUGACGGUACCGGAAGAAUAAGCACCGGCUAACUACGUG